UGAGAUGUUGGGUUAAGUCCCGUAACGAGCGCAACCCUUGUCCUUAGUUACCAGCACGUAAUGGUGGGCACUCUAAGGAGACUGCCGGUGACAAACCGGAGGAAGGUGGGGAUGACGUCAAGUCAUCAUGGCCCUUACGGCCUGGGCUACACACGUGNUACAAUGGUCGGUACAGAGGGUUGCCAAGCCGCGAGGNGGAGCUAAUCCCAGAAAACCGAUCGUAGUCCGGAUCGCAGUCUGCAACUCGACUGCGUGAAGUCGGAAUCGCUAGUAAUCGCGGAUCAG
RNAcentral lists this ribosomal RNA (285 nucleotides) under uncultured bacterium. RNAcentral's name for it is "partial 16S ribosomal RNA". It matches the Rfam family "Bacterial small subunit ribosomal RNA", at positions 1068 to 1352 of the family's 1533-position model. The record is from RNAcentral.